AUGGAACUACUAAUUCAGCAUUACUUUCAGAAAUGAUAGAAGCAUGUAACAGGGCAAAAAAAUGUGAAGAAAGUGUUUAUGCUGCCAGUAUUGUAAUCACAGUGUAUUCAAGGAACUCCACUGAUGUUUUAUAGAAUCCAGAUUUAUGAAGCCUGGAGAUUCACCAUAAACCUUAGCAUCAACUUGCUGAAGUGAAUAGAAAUGACAACAGAUUUCUCCUCAAUAGCAGUCAAAGCUUUAAGUCAAAUGACUAAGAUGUCAAGUAUUAAAUUGACAAUCAGUGAAUGUAUAAAAUCAUUUCCUUUCUGUUUAUACAGCAGAGCCUUCCAAUGCAUUUGAAAUCAAGCAUGGUAGACAAUUACCUACUUCAUGCCUAAUAUCUGGAAUGAGUCCCCUUUCAACUUGUCCCCUUUUGGGACCCCUCUUUGUGACAGUUCUUAAACAAUGUUUCUGACCUUCUUGCCUCUAUUCUUC
RNAcentral lists this long non-coding RNA (474 nucleotides) under Homo sapiens (human). RNAcentral's name for it is "long non-coding RNA NONHSAT187745". The record is from RNAcentral. Lineage: Eukaryota; Metazoa; Chordata; Mammalia; Primates; Hominidae.